AAUUAACCCGUACCCUGUUGGAGUACUUAGCUUCAUAGAUUAUGCGGGUACUUUAACUUAAGCGCAUGCCAAUUAGCCAACGUUAUUUGUCAAUAGGAAUGUUUUAGCGUUGCUUAUUUAUUCAGUAAUCACGAAUUAGAUUGGUUAUAUCGUCUGCUUGGAGGUAAAAGUCACUAAGUGCAAUUUUUUCCAAAUUCGAGAAAAAGUCAUUGUGUGUUGAUGUAAUAAUUUCCCAUAAGUAUGAAAAGUCACUAAAUGAACAUAACUGCUAUAAGUGCAAAUCAGAGAAUGAGAAAAUUCACUAUUUAAUUAUUUGAGAAGUUUCGUAAAAGUUAAAGUUCAUCAUAGUCACUUGAUGAGUUUUACCAUUCAUGGUUUCUGUAGGUUAGGGCACUUGGUGAAUUUCCCUCUAGCGCUUUUCUUUGGAACUACAUAUCUCUCUUUAUCCAAUUCAAUCUGUUAACUACAAGUGAGUUAUGGGUUAUGCCAAUAAAAACAUUGUUGUGUUUAUUUUGUUCGUUAAAAGUGCAUUGUAAUCACUUAAAAAUGCUCAGUCGCGGUAAUAAGCUAGUUGCUUUGUGCAAGUCUAAUGAAAUUAAUAAUAAGGAAAAGGAAUCAUUAGAUGAGAAUGGAAACAACAAUAGAAACCAGGAGUUUAUGAUUAAAACACUGCAAUCACGGAAAACAUUGCCCUUAAUGAAGAUGAAAUAGAUAACCUGCUAUUAGAUUCUGGGUCAGAGUAUGUACCUUCUCCUUCAAAUUCAACUCUUGAUGUUUAUUCAGAUGAGAUUACCGAUCGAGAAAAUAAUGAAGAAACGACAUUAGAAAGCAGUAGCCAAAAGAAAAAAAGAAGCCUCCACCCAACAAAACCCAGCCUAUUGAAAUAGAUUAUGUCAAAGAACACAAAUUCUUUUCCUACUGUGGAAUCUCACUACACCAGAAAAAAUAGUGAGAAAAAGUAUUUAUCUAGCGAUUUAAAUAUUUCCUCAAUGUAUAGACUUUACAAAGAAAGGUGUGAAAUCAAAAAUAUAAAUACUGUUAGCAUCCAUCAGUAUAGAAAAAUCUUUUGUACAAUUAUUCCUUUUUUGUGCCCCAAAAAGAUCAAUGCAUGUUAUGCAGCAAAUACAAUCUUGCUAAAAAAGAAAACUGUUUAGGUGAAGAUCUGGAGGAAUCCUACAAUGUUCACAUAAAAUGAAAAACAGUUUGCCAAGAAGCCGAAAGUAAGGACAAAGAGUGUGCAGAAUUUGACAGCAGCUUUAAAACCUUUACAUUUGAUCUGCAAAAAGUAAUGCAGCUCCCAUCUACAUCUGCUGUUUCCCAAUUUUAUUAUAGCCAAAAAAUUUUGGUAUAUAACUUGACUUUCUUUGAAAGCAAAAAUAAAGAAGGAAGUUGUUUCUUUUGGAAUGAAAUAAAUGGGAAAAGAGGCUCUAAUGAAAUUGUUAUAAUGUUAUUAUUAUGAAAUUUAUAUCCAUGCUACCCCCUGGGAUAAAGAAGCCAUUUAGAGGUGAUUGAACAUAAAUUUUUGGAAUCCGGCUAUUCUUUCAUGGAAUGUGAUUCCAUGCAUUCCACGAUAGAAAGGAAAAUGAAAAAUCAAGAGAUAUUUAUGAUGAAUGAUUAUAAACGAAUAUUUGAAGGAGCCAGAACAGGAAAAAAUACCAUACCCUACAAAUGCUUUGAGCUGAAGUAUACAGAUUUUUUAGAUUUAGGAAACCUCAGUUCUAAGAUCAUAAAAAAUAAAAAAACUGAUAUAGAAGGAAACAAGAUUAAUUGGUUAAAAAUUAAAUGUUUCAAAUUUUUGAAAACAGAACCAAACAAAAUAUUUUAUAAGUACAGUCAUAAAGACGACUACAAGGCCUUAGAUAUUAAUAGCUCAUCAAAUCGUGGAAGACCACGAAGCAAUGACAACUGUUUCCCAGCUCUCGUCUCUGCCUAUAGUGUCCAAUUAAAGUUAAAUAAAGCAAAGAAAAAAGACUUGAUCCAACUUUGUGACAAAGGAGUCAUUCCAGAGGAAGUCCAGCUGUGGUAUAGAAAUAUACCGUCUCUAAAAACUUCAGAUGAAAGAGCUCCAGAGCCUUGUAUAGAUGAUAUAAGAGAUGAAGAAUGGAUUCUCGAGUAAUUUUGACCUGAAAAAAUGUGUAUAAGAUUUUUGCGUGUAUUAUACUGUAUGAUAUAUUUGUUUAGUGUUUUUCUCUGAUUACAAAAUAUUUGUGAAACAUUUCUGUCUGUAAAUAAAAAGAUUAUAAAAAAA
Long non-coding RNA from Diorhabda sublineata, 2248 nucleotides. RefSeq lists it as uncharacterized. NCBI's taxonomy places the organism in Eukaryota, Metazoa, Arthropoda, Insecta, Coleoptera, Chrysomelidae. The transcript is spliced from 3 exons. The record is from RefSeq and is a predicted model, not a curated record.